Non-coding RNA from Salmo salar (Atlantic salmon), 58 nucleotides. Lineage: Eukaryota; Metazoa; Chordata; Actinopteri; Salmoniformes; Salmonidae. The record is from Rfam.
UGGCUCAGUUGGUAGAGCAUGGUGUUUGCAACGCCAGGGUUGUGGGUUCGAAUCCCAC